GCAUCCAUCAGCUACCGGCUACAACAUCUGUGACCCCAUUGGUAGCCAGGGUUGAUUAGGCUGAUCUGGCUGGCUAGGCGGGAGUCCCCUUCCUCCCUCAUUUCUCCAUGUUCGACCCUCCCUAAGCUAUGUGCUAGGUCUAAGAGGAUGACCUUUCCCAAAUAGAGGAGGACAGGUCUUCUGUCAAUGGUAUAUGAGUAGCUACACUCCCCUGCUAGAACCUCCAAACAAGCUCUUUCUCCUAGAUUGCUAAAUGAUGUUCUCUCACCAUAAGUAAUUGAGUGCUGCUGGAAAAAAAUAUGAGCAUACACACUGUACUUCAUACAGUGUUUGUUUCUGC
Cricetulus griseus (Chinese hamster) is the source of this 340-nucleotide unclassified non-coding RNA. Its record names the gene 7SK. It matches the Rfam family "7SK RNA". Rfam says of the family: 7SK was discovered as an abundant small nuclear RNA in the mid-70s but a possible function has only recently been suggested. Two independent studies have found that 7SK RNA binds the CDK9/cyclin T complex (known as elongation factor P-TEFb). P-TEFb activates transcription by phosphorylating the C-terminal domain of RNA polymerase II. The record is from Ensembl. Lineage: Eukaryota; Metazoa; Chordata; Mammalia; Rodentia; Cricetidae.